Molecule: ribosomal RNA, 460 nt
Filed under: uncultured bacterium
Lineage: Bacteria
Description: partial 16S ribosomal RNA
Rfam family: Bacterial small subunit ribosomal RNA
Source: RNAcentral
CCUACGGGUGGCUGCAGUGAGGAAUAUUGGUCAAUGGACGAGAGUCUGAACCAGCCAAGUAGCGUGAAGGAUGACUGCCCUAUGGGUUGUAAACUUCUUUUAUAUGGGAAUAAAAUGAUCCACGUGUGGGAUUUUGUAUGUACCAUAUGAAUAAGGAUCGGCUAACUCCGUGCCAGCAGCCGCGGUAAUACGGAGGAUCCGAGCGUUAUCCGGAUUUAUUGGGUUUAAAGGGAGCGUAGGUGGUGUGUUAAGUCAGUUGUGAAAGUUUGAGGCUCAACCGUUGAAUUGCAGUUGAAACUGGCAGUCUAGAGUACAGUAGAGGUAGGCGGAAUUCGUGGUGUAGCGGUGAAAUGCUUAGAUAUCACGAAGAACACCGAUUGCGAAGGCAGUUCACUGGACUGCAACUGACGCUGAGGCUCGAAAGUGUGGGUAUCAAACAGGAUUAGAUACCCGUGUAGUC